Molecule: ribosomal RNA, 775 nt
Filed under: Halomonas smyrnensis
Lineage: Bacteria; Pseudomonadati; Pseudomonadota; Gammaproteobacteria; Oceanospirillales; Halomonadaceae
Description: bacterial SSU rRNA
Rfam family: Bacterial small subunit ribosomal RNA
Source: RNAcentral
CUCGAGCGGAAACGAUCCUAGCUUGCUAGGAGGCGUCGAGCGGCGGACGGGUGAGUAAUGCAUAGGAAUCUGCCCGGUAGUGGGGGAUAACUUGAGGAAACUCAAGCUAAUACCGCAUACGCCCCAAGGGGGAAAGCAGGGGAUCUUCGGACCUUGCGCUAUCGGAUGAGCCUAUGUCGGAUUAGCUAGUUGGUGAGGUAAUGGCUCACCAAGGCCGCGAUCCGUAGCUGGUCUGAGAGGAUGAUCAGCCACAUCGGGACUGAGACACGGCCCGAACUCCUACGGGAGGCAGCAGUGGGGAAUAUUGGACAAUGGGCGAAAGCCUGAUCCAGCCAUGCCGCGUGUGUGAAGAAGGCCUUCGGGUUGUAAAGCACUUUCAGCGAGGAAGAACGCUUGUGGGUUAAUACCCCGCAAGAAGGACAUCACUCGCAGAAGAAGCACCGGCUAACUCCGUGCCAGCAGCCGCGGUAAUACGGAGGGUGCAAGCGUUAAUCGGAAUUACUGGGCGUAAAGCGCGCGUAGGCGGCUUGAUAAGCCGGUUGUGAAAGCCCCGGGCUCAACCUGGGAACGGCAUCCGGAACUGUCAGGCUAGAGUGCAGGAGAGGAAGGUAGAAUUCCCGGUGUAGCGGUGAAAUGCGUAGAGAUCGGGAGGAAUACCAGUGGCGAAGGCGGCCUUCUGGACUGACACUGACGCUGAGGUGCGAAAGCGUGGGUAGCAAACAGGAUUAGAUACCCUGGUAGUCCACGCCGUAAACGAUGUCGACUAGCCGUUGGG